CCUACGGGAGGCAGCAGUAGGGGAUAUUGCUCAAUGGGGGAAACCCUGAAGCAGCAACGCCGCGUGGAGGAUGAAGGUUUUCGGAUUGUAAACUCCUUUUGUUAGGGAAGAUAAUGACGGUAUCUAACGAAUAAGCACCGGCUAACUCCGUGCCAGCAGCCGCGGUAAUACGUAGGGGGCAAGCGUUACUCGGAAUCACUGGGCGUAAAGAGCGCGUAGGCGGGAUAGCAAGUCAGAAGUGAAAUCCUAGGGCUUAACCAUAGAACUGCAUUGGAAACUGUUUUUCUAGAGUAUGGGAGGGGUAGGUGGAAUUCCUGGUGUAGGGGUAAAAUGCGUAGAGAUCAAGAGGAAUACUGACUGCGAAGGCGACCUGCUAGAACAUAACUGACGCUGAUGCGCGAAAGCGUGGGGAGCAAACAGGAUUAGAUACCCCAGUAGUC
RNAcentral lists this ribosomal RNA (440 nucleotides) under uncultured bacterium. RNAcentral's name for it is "partial 16S ribosomal RNA". It matches the Rfam family "Bacterial small subunit ribosomal RNA", at positions 338 to 795 of the family's 1533-position model. The record is from RNAcentral.